UGGGGAAUAUUGCACAAUGGGCGCAAGCCUGAUGCAGCCAUGCCGCGUGUAUGAAGAAGGCCUUCGGGUUGUAAAGUACUUUCAGUCGGGAGGAAGGUGUCAAGGUUAAUAACCUUGGCAAUUGACGUUACCGACAGAAGAAGCACCGGCUAACUCCGUGCCAGCAGCCGCGGUAAUACGGAGGGUGCAAGCGUAAAUCGGAAUUACUGGGCGUAAAGCGCACGCAGGCGGUUGAUUGAGUCAGAUGUGAAAUCCCCGGGCUUAACCCGGGAAUUGCAUCUGAUACUGGUCAGCUAGAGUCUUGUAGAGGGGGGUAGAAUUCCAUGUGUAGCGGUGAAAUGCGUAGAGAUGUGGAGGAAUACCGGUGGCGAAGGCGGCCCCCUGGACAAAGACUGACGCUCAGGUGCGAAAGCGUGGGGAGCAAACAGG
This 429-nucleotide ribosomal RNA is filed under the name Chloroflexota bacterium. RNAcentral's name for it is "Chloroflexi bacterium partial 16S ribosomal RNA". It matches the Rfam family "Bacterial small subunit ribosomal RNA", at positions 355 to 776 of the family's 1533-position model. The record is from RNAcentral. Lineage: Bacteria; Bacillati; Chloroflexota.